ACAGCCUGUUCAGUCUCCUGAGCAGAGCCUAUGUUUUCUUGUGUAAUGGCACCCCCUUGUGGACGUAUUAAGCAAUGGUCCCUAUUGUACAUACGGGUCAUUUUCUCUUUUUUCUCAACAUUACGUUAACGUGACUCGUCAGUUGUCUAUUCCUAUCGCUGCUCUCAUUGACUUUUUCUCAGUGAAUACUUCCACUCCUGCCCUUCAUGUUCGGUUUCCAGUUACACUACCCUGUCUUUCCUUGUUCCUACAGCUAAAGCAACGUCUUUUCACAAAAUCCUAUAAAGGCUAAAGAAGAAAGACCUGCCUCUUUCAUCUCCUUUCGGGAACUGUUUAACUGGUUGGCUAGCAAGGCCUGCACAGUGAAAAGACGGCUACUCAGCUAACGGUGAAGAAGACAGCCCUCCAACUACACCGCCAAGAAGAGCUAAGUGGCUAACCCCCUUAUACCCACGUCAUAUUGACCCUUUGACUACCGAUUUAUUAAGGCAACAUGGAAGGAACUAACACAUCUAAAAAUGAAGAUGGGCAAUCUACGAGCUCACAUGCAUCCCGUUCAUCAAGCGGCUCAACAAAAGCUAAUCUUGCCGUUGCCAUAGCAAAAGCAAAAGCCGAAGCGGCACAGGCUAGAGUAGCUCAUUCAAAAAAGGAAAUUGAACUGAAAGUUGAGCAGGCUCGCAUCCAAGCUACUCUUGAUGCACUUAAAGAAGAGAAAGAAAUGGACGCAGCCCUAGCAGAGGCAAACACAUUGCAAGCAGGGUUAAUGGACGUGGCAUCAGAUUUUGAAAAAUUAGAAAUAUGCAGCGAAGCCAACAGUCAAGUUCUUUCAAACAGACAAUAUCAACGCACUGCCGCCUAUGUGUCAGAGCAAUCCAGCUUACACUCAGUGCCACUCAGCAUGUGUGAGCUACCAUUUGUUAUUGACAGAAAUAAAGCUGUUGAAUCAACAAAAUGUAACCCGAAGAACGAGCAAGCUGCCACCUCUACCUGCAAUGUGCCUCAUUACACAUCUCAGGCUCCCUCUCCACAGAAGAGUGGCCCAUCAUCUCCCAUUCAGCAGUUAGUAGAUGGAAUCUCCUACAAACCCAGCUGCCGGAACACUGAUCGGCAGCCACUGAUCCACAUCCAGCAGUCACCGCAUGAGAUGCUCCAUGAAACUAGACAGAGCAAACCUGAAAUCACAAACGAUCUUGCCAGAUAUCUUGCCCGCAGUAGGCUGGUGACCUCGGGGCUCACAACAUAUGACGAGCAGCCACUAAACUACUGGGCCUGGAAAAUCUCUUUCCGAAGUGCAAUCAUCGACUUGGACCUAACUGAGAGGGAAGAACUAAACCUGCUAAGUAAGUACCUCGGAAAGGAGUCAGCCGAGCAGGUGAAAAGAAUAGCAGCAGUAAACGUCAGAAAUCCACCCCUUGGACUGGUGAUGGCAUGGGAACGGCUUGAUGAAACGUUCGGCUCACCUGAGGCCGUCGAGCACGCUCUCUUCAGUAAACUAGAAAGCUUCCCUAGAAUUACCAUGAAGGAUCCACAGAAGCUACGGGAUCUUGCAGAUCUGCUGUCAGAGAUGGAAGCCGCGAAACGAGACGGACAUCUCCCAGGCCUAUCUUACCUGGACACCUCAAGAGGAAUUAAUCCUAUCGUGGAGAAACUCCCACACAACAUACAAGAGAAGUGGAUAUCACUCGGUUCAAAGUACAAGCGUGAACAUCAAGUCAGCUUCCCACCCUUUUCUGUGUUUGUAGACCUCAUCCGUACGGAGGCAAAAACUCGUACAGACCCCAGCUUCAACUUCAGCCAUUACUCUACUGGAGGAAAGAAUGCAUGGGAGAGAUCUCCGAAAACAUCCGUGCAUGUUCACAAGACUCAAGCUUCCCCAGCAGUAGAUGGAGAAGACAACGAAAGUGGUGACCCAAACAAAUAUUGCCCCAUUCACAACAAACCUCAUCCUUUGGCGAAAUGUAGAGGCUUUAGAGAAAGGAGUUUGGAAGAACGUCAACAGCUUCUAAAGGAACACUCCAUCUGCUUCCGAUGCUGCUCCUCCACUCAGCACCUUGCCAGGAACUGCUCAGCCGACAUAAGGUGCUCAGAAUGUGAGAGCAUAAACCAUGUUGCAGCCCUCCACCCUGGACUCUCUGCCCGGAGGUCUAAAAUGUCAACCCCGACUUCAGAGCACUGGGAGGAAGAAGACAAAGUGGAUGUACAGGAUCACAUUUCUAGGCAAGACAUCACUUCAGCUUGCACUCAGGUGUGUGGCGAAGGACUCAGCGCGAGAGCAUGUGCCAAAAUAUGCCUUGUCAACGUUUACCCAACUGGACACAGAGAGAAGUCCAGGAAAAUGUAUGCAGUACUCGACGAACAGAGCAACCGCUCCCUCGUACGCUCUCAGUUUUUUGACCUCUUCAAGGUUUCAGGGUGCUCCUACCCAUACACACUAAAAACGUGCGCUGGGCUUAAAGAGACUGCGGGGAGGAGAGCCAAAGGUUACAUGGUGGAGUCAAUAGAUCAAAGUUUGAGCAUUCCCCUGCCAACGCUUCUCGAGUGCAACCAACUCCCCAACAACCGCUCUGAGAUACCUACUCCAGAUGCAGCCUACCACCACACCCACCUGAAGCGGAUCGCCAACAAAAUACCUCCACUUGAUCCGAAUGCCAACAUACUCCUCUUGCUAGGCAGAGAUAUAUUGAGGGUGCACAAAGUCCGCGACCAGAUCAGCGGUCUAGGCAAUGCUCCAUUCGCCCAAAGGCUGGACCUAGGCUGGGUCAUCAUUGGUGAUGUAUGUCUCCGCGGUGCCCACAGACCAUCUCAGGUGAGCAGCUACAAGACAUGCAUCCUAGAGAAUGGUCGCACAAGCCAUCUGCAGCCAUGCACUAACCAUAUCAGGGUCAAGGAGAAGUUCAGUCACUCAUCUACACCGCAAUACCGACCCGCACCCACCUCCACACUGUUCAGCAGAAACAGCUUGGGGCAGAACGUCUUUGCACAAACAGCCAAUGACCAUCACCUCGCACCAUCAUUAGAAGACAUCAGAUUCCUCCAGAUCAUGGACAGUGAGUUCCAUCAAGAUAGCUCCAACAGCUGGGUGGGGCCCUUACCUUUCCGUUCUCCAAGACCACGGCUGCCUGACAAUAGGAAACAAGCACAAGACCGCCUGCUCUCACUCAGACGCACCCUGGAAAAACGUCCUCAGAUGAAGGCUCACUUUCUAGAGUUCAUGGAGAACCUGUUCAGGAGAGAACAUGCGGAGGCCGCACCGCCCCUACGAGACGGACAAGAGCGCUGGUAUCUACCGCUCUUUGGAGUAUACCAUCCCAAAAAGCCUGACAGGAUCCGUGUAGUCUUCGACUCAAGUGCACCAUGUGAAGGGGUGUCACUCAACGACGUCCUGCUCAAAGGCCCCGACCUUAACAACAGUCUGCUGGGCGUACUCAUAAGGUUCAGGAAAGAGCAGGUAGCCAUCACUGCAGACAUCGAGCACAUGUUCCACUGCUUCAUUGUGAGGGAAGACCACAGGGACUUUCUCCGCUUCCUAUGGUUCAGGAACAAUGACCUUAACUCCGACAUUGUGGACUACAGAAUGAGGGUCCACCUUUUUGGCAACAGCCCGUCCCCGGCCGUGGCUGUGUACGGCCUACGGAGAGCUGCCAAAAAAGCAGAAGCGGACUAUGGCAGUGAUGCAAGAGAACUGAUCGACCGCGAGUUCUACGUGGAUGAUGCACUCAAGUCCUUCAACACUGAAGAAGAAGCUGUUAGUGUUCUCCGGCGAGCUCAGGAGAUGCUUGCGGCCUCCAACCUCAGACUGCACAAAAUUGCAUCAAAUCGCCCUGCUGUCAUAGAUGCAUUCCCCCCAGAGGACCGCAGCAAGGAUGUCGGAGACUUGGACCUCUUUGUCGAUGACCUACCCGUCCAACGUAGCCUGGGUUUGUCGUGGAAUAUGUGCACAGACUCCUUCACCUUCCAGAUUGCAGAGAGCCAGAAGCCAUUUACUCGCAGAGGGGUGUUGUCCACAGUGAACAGUCUCUAUGAUCCCCUAGGCUUCCUCGCACCCGUCACUGUUCGAGGAAGACUGAUACUGAGAGCCCUCACCACUCAAGCAGAAGAUUGGGACUCGCCACUUCCAAGAGACAUGGAGACUGAGUGGACCAGCUGGAGAGAGUCUCUCCACGACCUAACAAAAUUACAGAUACCACGCUGCUACACACCCUUCUCCACAGCAGGGGCCCAAACAAGAGAACUCUGUGUCUUUGCAGACACAUCAGUGAAAGCAAUAGCAGCUGUAGCCUACAUUAGGGUGACAAACAAAGAUGAACAAACUGCGGUUGGCUUCGUGUUCGGCAAGACAAAGCUGGCUCCACAGCCCGAUCUUACUAUUCCCAGGCUCGAACUGUGUGCCGCUGUACUCGCAGUAGAGAUAGCCGAGAUGAUAGUCGCAGAGAUGGACGAGACAUUUGACGACAUAACAUACUAUACUGAUAGCAAAGUUGUACUAGAGUACAUCCACAACCAAUCAAGGAGGUUCUAUGUCUAUGUCCACAAUAGAGUCCAGCGAAUCCUCCAGUCACCAUGCUCUGGCCAGUGGAAGUAUGUUCACACUGACCUCAACCCAGCCGAUAUUGGAUCGAGAUCUGUGACUCCAGCUGUCCUGAACAGCACGAUAUGGUUCACAGGACCCACUUUUCUACAAAAUACUCCAGCGCACUCAUCUGAACUACAACAGACUUUUGACCUAAUCGAUCCCGCGUCCGACUCGGAGAUACGUCCCCAAGUGACCACAAGUCUCACCUGUGCCACUGGAAAUGCGAUCAACCCGCUACGCUUUGAACGCUUCUCUGAGUUCAACAACCUUGUCACCGCAGUAGCACACUUGAUCCAUGUGGCUCGGUCUUUCUCCCACUCCAUCCAAGGCAAGUGCCAGGGCUGGCACUUCUGUCGCCCAACGGAGGAAGAGUUGUCUAGGGCGAAGGUGUGCAUCUUGAAGAGUGUCCAGAAUAACUGCUAUGAAGAAGAGCUCGAGUGUGUGUAUUCGGGACUUAACAUCCCAUCGUCCAGCAAUCUAAAGAAGCUUCACCCUGUGAUAGACUCAAACGGACUUUUGAGGGUCGGAGGCCGUAUACGGCAGUCAGGCCUGAGCACUGACGAGACUCAACCCAUCAUCAUCCCUGGGCGCAAUCACCUGGCAACCCUGCUGGUGCGCCACUAUCACAAAGUUGUGAAACAUCAAGGAAGACACUUCACCGAAGGAGCUGUCCGAGCUGCUGGAUUUUGGCUAGUCGGGGGAAGACGCUGCAUCACCAGCAUACUUUUCAAGUGUGUCAUCUGUAGAAGGUUACGAGGAAACACAGAACUUCAACAAAUGGCGAACUUACCAGCUGAACGUCUGCAGGUAGCACCUCCCUUCACCUAUGUCGGCGUUGACAUCUUCGGACCAUGGGACGUCAUCUCACGACGCACAAGAGGGGGACUUUCCAACUCCAAAAGAUGGGCUGUAAUGUUUUCAUGCAUGUCUUCAAGGGCAGUACAUAUUGAAGUGAUCGAGGCCAUGAGUUCCAGCAGCUUCAUCAACGCCUUGCGGAGGUUCUUCGCUGUUAGGGGCCCCGUCAAACAAAUACGGUCUGACCGUGGGACCAAUUUCGUCGGUGCCUCUCGAGAACUGAAUAUGGACAAACCAAUUCAGAGCGCCGAUGCAGUAGAGAAAUUCCUCAGCACCCAGAGCUGCUCCUGGGUCUUCAAUACUCCCCACGCGUCUCACACGGGUGGCGCAUGGGAGCGCAUGAUUGGCAUCGCCCGCCGCAUUCUAGACUUCAUGCUGCUUGAACAGAAGAAAUCUCAGCUUACCCAUGAAGUCCUCACCACCCUCAUGGCGGAGGUCAUGGCAGUCAUGAAUGCAAGACCCCUCAUCCCAGUGUCAUCAGAUCCCGAAUAUCCCCUCAUCCUCACACCAGCAAUGCUUUUGACCCAAAAAACAGGCUCCACUCCUCCUCCCCCUUGCAAUCUUGAGGAAGCAGAUCUUUUCAAAGAAGAGUGGAAGCAAGUGCAGAGCCUGGCCGACACCUUUUGGAACAGGUGGAAGUGCGAAUACCUCAAAACGUUGCAGCUUCGCAACAAAUGGCAAGACAAAAGGCCUAAUAUUCAUGAAGGUGAUGUCAUCCUCCUGAAGGACAAUCAGGCAAAGAGGAACGAAUGGCCUGUGGGCAUUGUCACUAAGACUUUUCCAGGAGAAGAUGGAUUGGUCCGGAAAGUCGAGGUAGCGGUCGUCAAAGAUGGAAUCAGAAAGACUUUCUUUCGACCUGUCGUCAACCUGGUGCUGCUUCUUUCCACAAAGACUGUUUAGUGUGGGAUCUCUAAAGACCCCAUGCGGGGAGUGUUCAGUCUCCUGAGCAGAGCCUAUGUUUUCUUGUGUAAUGGCACCCCCUUGUGGACGUAUUAAGCAAUGGUCCCUAUUGUACAUACGGGUCAUUUUCUCUUUUUUCUCAACAUUACGUUAACGUGACUCGUCAGUUGUCUAUUCCUAUCGCUGCUCUCAUUGACUUUUUCUCAGUGAAUACUUCCACUCCUGCCCUUCAUGUUCGGUUUCCAGUUACACUACCCUGUCUUUCCUUGUUCCUACAGCUAAAGCAACGUCUUUUCACAAAAUCCUAUAAAGGCUAAAGAAGAAAGACCUGCCUCUUUCAUCUCCUUUCGGGAACUGUUUAACUGGUUGGCUAGCAAGGCCUGCACACAGCCAGUAUAAAAAAGUCUACAUAUUGUAAUAUUUACCAUGGCAGGUUUCCAAACCACAGUCGCCUGUGUAGAGCAAUACACACAUUAGCGUUGUGCCAUACAAGCGGCGAGAGAGAAUGUAACUCCAACACACAUAAAGUAAGAUAGUUGCGAUCGCCUUACGAUUACCACAAUAGCGCUAAAGAUAAAAAUAAAAUUCCCUUUAUCUUCAAAUGCAUAGUCACAAUACGCCUGACUUACAUUGCUGCUAGCAACGUUGAGCUACUGAAUAAUUUCCACCACCGAUAGGCGGUACACCAGUGCUUGUAAAGUUGGGUUUCAGCCAAAUGUCGCAAGGGUAAAUGGAAGAGCUUGGUGAUUAAAGGUUCAGACAACUCCAAACAUCUACAUGACAUCAUCUGAAGCAGUUCACAAUCAAUACUUAUCUUAUAACAUGACAAAUAUAUAAAACCUUUUACGUGAAAUACAUAUACUCACCAAAGAUGUCAAUUCCUCCUCCUCAGUCAGCCAUUUUGGCGUGACUUAGCUUGUUGAACAGUUUUGCUGUAAUCAACCAAUCAGAGGACGGAAAAGUGCCGAUGUCACUGUACUGUAUGCUGGAACAUACAUACAACAUACAUGGCUAGCUGGCUAAUCAGAAGUCUGAUUCUGAUUCUGAAAAGAACAGCCCCUUACUAAUAGUGUGUUUGUGGCGGGGGCUAACACUCGUGACACUGAAGGCUCUGGGCAUGACAUUUAUAUGGCAACACAUAGAAGCUGAAAUCUGAUUGGACAAAAAAAAAUCUAACAUACACAGCACACAGCCAAGAGACACGCAGCUAAACAAAUUAUUGACUAUUGGAAUAAAUUAAUACAAUUUCAUGUUAUUACUGUCAUUGCUAGAAUUUAAGUUGUAAAUGUGGCUCAGUGCUUUUGAUUGUGUUUAGGAAAAUAAAUAUUAGUAUUUGAUAUGUACAGUACAUUCAGAAGUAGACAUAGUUUUAAAUGUGGAAACAUUUAUUAAUAUUCAAUUUAUUUUUUGUGUGUGGAAGCUGUCCUAAAGCUGUUUGCGCUACAAUGUUUGUAUUGCAUUUUUCCUAAAAAACAAAACAAACAAAAAAAACUUCGCAAUUUUUUUUAAGCUUUUAGGCAUUUGAGAUACCACUGAAUGUUUUUAACUAAAAGAAGAGCAAAAAAGAUUUGGUUGGUCAACCUCAACUUGACGAAUUACAUUUCAGUGUGAGCUUGCUUACUACAUAACAUAAUACAUGAUACGCUUUUGUUAUGGGCCCAAAAUGGAUGUGCUUGUGUGUUUUUAUGUGUUCUUUUUUCACUCGUUUUUUGUCAGGUCGUUGUCAAGACUGAUUGAUGAGAGUCUAGCUUGUCAUGUUAGCUAGACUAGACUAGAUCCAAUGUAAAACUUACUGCCUCUGUACAUUUUCUAAUAAAUGCACUAAAAUGUUCCAAAGCUAACCUCUACAAAGUCUGCAUGUGUAUAUUUUCACUCUACUACACUUUAUUACCUUUAAACUUUGACUUGAAGUUCAGUUACAGUUUGAGCUGGUGGAGGAGUGGGAGCUGCAGAUGACAGUGGGUUCAGAUAUAAUGCUAUUUAAAUGCUAAUGUAUUAAGGGGUGCAAAACGACCUUUACUCACUAUACAGUAUGUAGCUACAUGUCUUAACAAAUGAUCCUCAUUCUUUGACUUUUAUCCCUUAACACUUCAUGUCAGUUUGAGGCUUUACUUUAUCAAUAUGAAAUCUAGGUGGCUCUGACAAUGCUAAAAAGUCAGUUAGUGGUGCUCGUCUUAAGGCAGACAUGAUCAAACAAUGCUCUGGGUUUAACUGAACAAGUGACUAUUGGGUUUUAAAGACAUUGAAGAGAGUUGGUUCUAUUGCCAUCACUAGUAAGAUUAAGAUUGCCAUUCAAAUUUGGAGAGGGGUGGAGAAUGUUCCAACCAAUGGAAUUAUGACAAAGCUCCAGGAAUGUUCACCCUGAAAAUGCGACCACUUGUGUGACCACUUUGAUCUGCGCUCAAGCUCGUUACACCAGCACAUGAUUGGUUAUGUAUUAUGCAUAUGACAAUAAAACUCUUGAAUCUUGAAUCUUGAUAUGCACAUGAGCAACAUAGCCAGGUCGGUCCUCGCCAGUUUUGAGUAACCGAAAGAUAAAUAGGAAGACUCAAAGUCAUCCACAAAGGCAAAACCUAUGGGAUGCUCGCUUCCACCUAUGUAUGUCCAUGCACAUAAAGAACUGUCAUUUAAUUAAUGUGACCGCUCCUCCCGCAAGUUGUAAAUGCAAGUCGCCGCACAGCACAAAUGGUCAGUGUAAAUGCAGGUCAGCGGCGACCAAGGGAGGGAGCGUGAAUCGCACCCAAGUCCGGCACAUUUCGAAUGGGUCUUUUGCUAAUCCAAACUGGAAUUGUUCCACAUUGGGUGGAGGUUUGCACUCUACUGCCACAUUUGAAAGGGCACAUUCAUACAGGGUUGGUUGUAUUUAGGCACAGU
RNA transcript from Dunckerocampus dactyliophorus (ringed pipefish), 9202 nucleotides. RefSeq lists it as uncharacterized. NCBI's taxonomy places the organism in Eukaryota, Metazoa, Chordata, Actinopteri, Syngnathiformes, Syngnathidae. The record is from RefSeq and is a predicted model, not a curated record. The transcript has 3 exons.